RNAcentral lists this ribosomal RNA (584 nucleotides) under Leptolyngbya sp. K1.1. RNAcentral's name for it is "bacterial SSU rRNA". It matches the Rfam family "Bacterial small subunit ribosomal RNA", at positions 122 to 741 of the family's 1533-position model. The record is from RNAcentral. Lineage: Bacteria; Bacillati; Cyanobacteriota; Cyanophyceae; Leptolyngbyales; Leptolyngbyaceae.
GAAUCUGCCUUCAGGAGGGGGAUAACGACUAGAAAUGGUCGCUAAUACCCCAUAUGCCUAUGGGUGAAACGAGUUUUGCCUGAAGAUGAGCUCGCGUCAGAUUAGCUAGUUGGUGAGGUAACGGCUCACCAAGGCGACGAUCUGUAGCUGGUCUGAGAGGAUGAUCAGCCACACUGGGACUGAGACACGGCCCAGACUCCUACGGGAGGCAGCAGUGGGGAAUUUUCCGCAAUGGGCGAAAGCCUGACGGAGCAAGACCGCGUGGGGGAUGAAUGCCUAAUGGUUGUAAACCCCUUUUAUUCGGGAAGAUAAUGACGGUACCGAAUGAAUCAGCCUCGGCUAACUCCGUGCCAGCAGCCGCGGUAAUACGGAGGAGGCAAGCGUUAUCCGGAAUUAUUGGGCGUAAAGCGUCCGUAGGUGGUUGGACAAGUCAGCUGUUAAAGAGUGGUGCUUAACACCAUAAAGGCGGUUGAAACUGUUUAACUAGAGUUUGGUAGGGGUUGCGGGAAUUCCCAGUGUAGCGGUGAAAUGCGUAGAUAUUGGGAAGAACACCGGUGGCGAAAGCGCGCGACUGGACCUGAACU